UGAACGCUAGCGACAGGCCUAACACAUGCAAGUCAGGGGCAGCACAAGGAGCAAUCUGAGGUGGCGACCGGCGCACGGGUGAGUAACACGUAUGCAACCUGCCUGUAAGCGGGGAAUAACCCGUUGAAAGACGGACUAAUACCGCAUAAUACUAAAUUACUGCAUGGUAAUUUAUUUAAACAUUUAUGGCUUACAGAUGGGCAUGCGCAUGAUUAGCUAGUUGGAGAGGUAACGGCUCCCCAAGGCAACGAUCAUUAGGGGUUCUGAGAGGAAGGUCCCCCACACUGGUACUGAGACACGGACCAGACUCCUACGGGAGGCAGCAGUGAGGAAUAUUGGUCAAUGGACGAGAGUCUGAACCAGCCAAGUCGCGUGCAGGAAGAAUGUCCUAUUGGAUUGUAAACUGCUUUUGCAGGGGAAUAAAGUGCAUCACGUGUGAUGUUUUGUAUGUACUCUGCGAAUAAGGAUCGGCUAACUCCGUGCCAGCAGCAGC
RNAcentral lists this ribosomal RNA (493 nucleotides) under uncultured bacterium. Its description in RNAcentral is "bacterial SSU rRNA". It matches the Rfam family "Bacterial small subunit ribosomal RNA", at positions 30 to 518 of the family's 1533-position model. The record is from RNAcentral.